RNAcentral lists this ribosomal RNA (2929 nucleotides) under Bacillus anthracis (anthrax bacterium). RNAcentral describes it as "partial 23S ribosomal RNA". It matches the Rfam family "Bacterial large subunit ribosomal RNA". Lineage: Bacteria; Bacillati; Bacillota; Bacilli; Caryophanales; Bacillaceae. The record is from RNAcentral.
UUUGGUUAAGUUAGAAAGGGCGCACGGUGGAUGCCUUGACACUAGGAGUCGAUGAAGGACGGGACUAACGCCGAUAUGCUUCGGGGAGCUGUAAGUAAGCUUUGAUCCGAAGAUUUCCGAAUGGGGAAACCCACCAUACGUAAUGGUAUGGUAUCCUUAUCUGAAUACAUAGGGUAAGGAAGACAGACCCAGGGAACUGAAACAUCUAAGUACCUGGAGGAAGAGAAAGCAAAUGCGCUUUCCUGAGUAGCGGCGAGCGAAACGGAACAUAGCCCAAACCAAGAGGCUUGCCUCUUGGGGUUGUAGGACAUUCUAUACGGAGUUACAAAGGAACGAGGUAGACGAAGCGACCUGGAAAGGUCCGUCGUAGAGGGUAACAACCCCGUAGUCGAAACUUCGUUCUCUCUUGAAUGUAUCCUGAGUACGGCGGAACACGUGAAAUUCCGUCGGAAUCUGGGAGGACCAUCUCCCAAGGCUAAAUACUCCCUAGUGAUCGAUAGUGAACCAGUACCGUGAGGGAAAGGUGAAAAGCACCCCGGAAGGGGAGUGAAAGAGAUCCUGAAACCGUGUGCCUACAAAUAGUCAGAGCCCGUUAACGGGUGAUGGCGUGCCUUUUGUAGAAUGAACCGGCGAGUUACGAUCCCGUGCGAGGUUAAGCUGAAGAGGCGGAGCCGCAGCGAAAGCGAGUCUGAAUAGGGCGUUUAGUACGUGGUCGUAGACCCGAAACCAGGUGAUCUACCCAUGUCCAGGGUGAAGUUCAGGUAACACUGAAUGGAGGCCCGAACCCACGCACGUUGAAAAGUGCGGGGAUGAGGUGUGGGUAGCGGAGAAAUUCCAAUCGAACCUGGAGAUAGCUGGUUCUCCCCGAAAUAGCUUUAGGGCUAGCCUUAAGUGUAAGAGUCUUGGAGGUAGAGCACUGAUUGGACUAGGGGUCCUCAUCGGAUUACCGAAUUCAGUCAAACUCCGAAUGCCAAUGACUUAUCCUUAGGAGUCAGACUGCGAGUGAUAAGAUCCGUAGUCAAAAGGGAAACAGCCCAGACCGCCAGCUAAGGUCCCAAAGUGUGUAUUAAGUGGAAAAGGAUGUGGAGUUGCUUAGACAACUAGGAUGUUGGCUUAGAAGCAGCCACCAUUUAAAGAGUGCGUAAUAGCUCACUAGUCGAGUGACUCUGCGCCGAAAAUGUACCGGGGCUAAAUACACCACCGAAGCUGCGGAUUGAUACCAAUGGUAUCAGUGGUAGGGGAGCGUUCUAAGGACAGUGAAGUCAGACCGGAAGGACUGGUGGAGUGCUUAGAAGUGAGAAUGCCGGUAUGAGUAGCGAAAGACGGGUGAGAAUCCCGUCCACCGAAUGCCUAAGGUUUCCUGAGGAAGGCUCGUCCGCUCAGGGUUAGUCAGGACCUAAGCCGAGGCCGACAGGCGUAGGCGAUGGACAACAGGUUGAUAUUCCUGUACCACCUCUUUAUCGUUUGAGCAAUGGAGGGACGCAGAAGGAUAGAAGAAGCGUGCGAUUGGUUGUGCACGUCCAAGCAGUUAGGCUGAUAAGUAGGCAAAUCCGCUUAUCGUGAAGGCUGAGCUGUGAUGGGGAAGCUCCUUAUGGAGCGAAGUCUUUGAUUCCCCGCUGCCAAGAAAAGCUUCUAGCGAGAUAAAAGGUGCCUGUACCGCAAACCGACACAGGUAGGCGAGGAGAGAAUCCUAAGGUGUGCGAGAGAACUCUGGUUAAGGAACUCGGCAAAAUGACCCCGUAACUUCGGGAGAAGGGGUGCUUUCUUAACGGAAAGCCGCAGUGAAUAGGCCCAAGCGACUGUUUAGCAAAAACACAGCUCUCUGCGAAGCCGUAAGGCGAAGUAUAGGGGGUGACACCUGCCCGGUGCUGGAAGGUUAAGGAGAGGGGUUAGCGUAAGCGAAGCUCUGAACUGAAGCCCCAGUAAACGGCGGCCGUAACUAUAACGGUCCUAAGGUAGCGAAAUUCCUUGUCGGGUAAGUUCCGACCCGCACGAAAGGUGUAACGAUUUGGGCACUGUCUCAACCAGAGACUCGGUGAAAUUAUAGUACCUGUGAAGAUGCAGGUUACCCGCGACAGGACGGAAAGACCCCGUGGAGCUUUACUGUAGCCUGAUAUUGAAUUUUGGUACAGUUUGUACAGGAUAGGCGGGAGCCUUUGAAACCGGAGCGCUAGCUUCGGUGGAGGCGCUGGUGGGAUACCGCCCUGACUGUAUUGAAAUUCUAACCUACGGGUCUUAUCGACCCGGGAGACAGUGUCAGGUGGGCAGUUUGACUGGGGCGGUCGCCUCCUAAAGUGGAACGGAGGGGCCCAAAGGUUCCCUCAGAAUGGUUGGAAAUCAUUCGUAGAGUGCAAAGGCAUAAGGGAGCUUGACUGCGAGACCUACAAGUCGAGCAGGGACGAAAGUCGGGCUUAGUGAUCCGGUGGUUCCGCAUGGAAGGGCCAUCGCUCAACGGAUAAAAGCUACCCCGGGGAUAACAGGCUUAUCUCCCCCAAGAGUCCACAUCGACGGGGAGGUUUGGCACCUCGAUGUCGGCUCAUCGCAUCCUGGGGCUGUAGUCGGUCCCAAGGGUUGGGCUGUUCGCCCAUUAAAGCGGUACGCGAGCUGGGUUCAGAACGUCGUGAGACAGUUCGGUCCCUAUCCGUCGUGGGCGUAGGAAAUUUGAGAGGAGCUGUCCUUAGUACGAGAGGACCGGGAUGGACGCACCGCUGGUGUACCAGUUGUUCUGCCAAGGGCAUAGCUGGGUAGCUAUGUGCGGAAGGGAUAAGUGCUGAAAGCAUCUAAGCAUGAAGCCCCCCUCAAGAUGAGAUUUCCCAUAGCGUAAGCUAGUAAGAUCCCUGAAAGAUGAUCAGGUUGAUAGGUUCGAGGUGGAAGCAUGGUGACAUGUGGAGCUGACGAAUACUAAUAGAUCGAGGACUUAACCAUAUAA